This 677-nucleotide ribosomal RNA is filed under the name uncultured Lachnospiraceae bacterium. RNAcentral's name for it is "bacterial SSU rRNA". It matches the Rfam family "Bacterial small subunit ribosomal RNA", at positions 66 to 753 of the family's 1533-position model. Lineage: Bacteria; Bacillati; Bacillota; Clostridia; Lachnospirales; Lachnospiraceae. The record is from RNAcentral.
AUUAAGAUGAAGUUUCGGAUGGAAUCUUGAUUGAGUGAGUGGCGGACGGGUGAGUAACGCGUGGAUAACCUGCCUCACACUGGGGGAUAACAGUUAGAAAUGACUGCUAAUACCGCAUAAGCGCACAGUGCCGCAUGGCAGUGUGUGAAAAACUCCGGUGGUGUGAGAUGGAUCCGCGUCUGAUUAGCCAGUUGGCGGGGUAACGGCCCACCAAAGCGACGAUCAGUAGCCGACCUGAGAGGGUGACCGGCCACAUUGGGACUGAGACACGGCCCAAACUCCUACGGGAGGCAGCAGUGGGGAAUAUUGCACAAUGGGCGAAAGCCUGAUGCAGCGACGCCGCGUGAGUGAAGAAGUAUUUCGGUAUGUAAAGCUCUAUCAGCAGGGAAGAAAAUGACGGUACCUGACUAAGAAGCCCCGGCUAACUACGUGCCAGCAGCCGCGGUAAUACGUAGGGGGCAAGCGUUAUCCGGAUUUACUGGGUGUAAAGGGAGCGUAGACGGCGAAGCAAGUCUGAAGUGAAAACCCAGGGCUCAACCCUGGGACUGCUUUGGAAACUGUUUUGCUAGAGUGUCGGAGAGGUAGUGGAAUUCCUAGUGUAGCGGUGAAAUGCGUAGAUAUUAGGAGGAACACCAGUGGCGAAGGCGGCUUACUGGACGAUAACUGACGUUGAGGCU